GACAGAGGGUGCGAACGUUGUUCGGAAUUACUGGGCGUAAAGCGCGUGUAGGCGGCAAUGCAAGUCGGGCGUGAAAUCCCACGGCUCAACCGUGGAAGUGCAUUCGAAACUGCAGGGCUAGAGUCCUGGAGAGGAAGGUGGAAUGCUUGGUGUAGAGGUGAAAUUCGUAGAUAUCAAGCGGAACACCGGUGGCGAAGGCGGCCUUCUGGACAGUGACUGACGCUGAGACGCGAAAGCGUGGGGAGCAAACAGG
RNAcentral lists this ribosomal RNA (253 nucleotides) under uncultured bacterium. Its description in RNAcentral is "partial 16S ribosomal RNA". It matches the Rfam family "Bacterial small subunit ribosomal RNA", at positions 524 to 776 of the family's 1533-position model. The record is from RNAcentral.